AUUAAUAAGCGGAGGAAAAGAAACUAACUAGGAUUCCCUCAGUAAGGGCGACUGAAGCGGGAAGAGCUCACCGUGUGAAUCUGUGCGGGUGUUUAUUGUCUCAUCUUUGAUGAUUUGGUAGACCCAGCACCGAAUUGUGGUCUGUAGAAGCAUUGUCGGCCGCGGUCCCGGGCCAAGUCCCUUGGAAAAGGGCAGCAUAGAGGGUGAGACUCCCGUUCUUGCCUGGGACGUGUUGGCCAUGGCACAUGUAUUCGACGAGUCGAGUUGCUUGGGAUUGCAGCUCCAAGUGGGUGGUAAAUUCCAUCUAAAGCUAAAUACCGGUGGGAGACCGAUAGCGAACAAGUACCGUGAGGGAAAGAUGCAAAGAACUUUGAAAAGAGAGUUAAAGAGUACCUGAAAUUGCUGAAAGGGAAGCGAAGGAAACCAGUGUCGUGGCUGUGCAUAUUUCCCGUGCCGCUUGCGGUGUGGGCGCUGUGCACGGUCUUGGGCCAGCAUGGGUUUGUAUUUCAAUGCAAAUGGUGGUUUGGGAGGUAGGUUCCACUUGUGGUUCCGAUACCAAGUCAUUUUGUGGUGGAUGAGACCGAGGGAGUCGUCUAUUUUGACGCUCGUGAUGCUGGCGAAAUGGUUUUCUUUACCCCGUCUUG
Molecule: ribosomal RNA, 644 nt
Filed under: Attheya longicornis
Lineage: Eukaryota; Bacillariophyta; Biddulphiophyceae; Attheyales; Attheyaceae
Description: partial large subunit ribosomal RNA
Rfam family: Eukaryotic large subunit ribosomal RNA
Source: RNAcentral